GAUGGACGCUGGCGGCAGGCCUAAUACAUGCAAGUCGAGGGGUAGAAGAGGCUUGCUUCUUGAGACCGGCGCACGGGUGCGUAACGCGUAUGCAACCUACCUUCAUCUGGGGGAUAGCCCGGAGAAAUCCGGAUUAAUACCGCAUAAAAUCACAGGAUGGCAUUAUCCAAUGAUCAAACAUUUAUGGGAUGGAGAUGGGCAUGCGUGUCAUUAGCUAGUUGGCGGGGUAACGGCCCACCAAGGCGACGAUGACUAGGGGAUCUGAGAGGAUGGCCCCCCACACUGGUACUGAGACACGGACCAGAUUCCUACGGGAGGCAGCAGUAAGGAAUAUUGGUCAAUGGAGGCAACUCUGAACCAGCCAUGCCGCGUGCAGGAAGACUGCCCUAUGGGUUGUAAACUGCUUUUAUUCGGGAAUAAACCUUAUUACGUGUAAUAAGCUGAAUGUACCGAAGGAAUAAGGAUCGGCUAACUCCGUGCCAGCCGCCGCGGUAA
This 495-nucleotide ribosomal RNA is filed under the name uncultured bacterium. RNAcentral's name for it is "partial 16S ribosomal RNA". It matches the Rfam family "Bacterial small subunit ribosomal RNA", at positions 28 to 523 of the family's 1533-position model. The record is from RNAcentral.